Molecule: long non-coding RNA, 269 nt
Organism: Helianthus annuus (common sunflower)
Lineage: Eukaryota; Viridiplantae; Streptophyta; Magnoliopsida; Asterales; Asteraceae
Exons: 3
Source: RefSeq, a predicted model, not a curated record
GUCAGGAGCAAGGGAAACCCUUCUCCUUUAAUUCCAUACAAGAACUCAAGAAUUGAAGCUGAAUUAGAGAAGAGAUCGAAUGCAUGAGGCUAGAUAUAGUUUAAUCUAAGUGUAUUGAUCAAAAGGAGUCAUUUCAACAUGAGCACAAAUAUGGAAGCGACACGGGUCGAAGGUAAACACGGAAGCUUUGUGUAAAUUCGGACGCACGAGGUUAGUCGGAUAUUCACGACGGACUAGUGAUCGAGGGACGAGUUAAGAUCAAGGAUUGU